This 598-nucleotide ribosomal RNA is filed under the name uncultured bacterium. RNAcentral describes it as "bacterial SSU rRNA". It matches the Rfam family "Bacterial small subunit ribosomal RNA", at positions 248 to 863 of the family's 1533-position model. The record is from RNAcentral.
GUUGGUGAGGUAAUGGCUCACCAAGACUAUGACACUUAACUGGUUUGAGAGGAUGAUCAGUCACACUGGAACUGAGACACGGUCCAGACUCCUACGGGAGGCAGCAGUGGGGAAUAUUGCACAAUGGACGGAAGUCUGAUGCAGCAACGCCGCGUGGAGGACGACACAUUUCGGUGCGUAAACUCCUUUUAUAUGAGAAGAUAAUGACGGUAUCAUAUGAAUAAGCACCGGCUAACUCCGUGCCAGCAGCCGCGGUAAUACGGAGGGUGCAAGCGUUACUCGGAAUCACUGGGCGUAAAGAGCGUGUAGGCGGGUUGAUAAGUUUGAAGUGAAAUCCUAUAGCUUAACUAUAGAACUGCUUUGAAAACUGUUAACCUAGAAUAUGGGAGAGGUAGAUGGAAUUUCUGGUGUAGGGGUAAAAUCCGUAGAGAUCAGAAGGAAUACCGAUUGCGAAGGCGAUCUACUGGAACAUUAUUGACGCUGAGACGCGAAAGCGUGGGUAGCAAACAGGAUUAGAUACCCUGGUAGUCCACGCCCUAAACGAUGUACACUAGUUGUUGUGAGGCUCGACCUUGCAGUAAUGCAGUUAACACAUUAA